Ostrinia nubilalis (European corn borer) is the source of this 328-nucleotide long non-coding RNA. RefSeq lists it as uncharacterized. The transcript has 2 exons. Lineage: Eukaryota; Metazoa; Arthropoda; Insecta; Lepidoptera; Crambidae. The record is from RefSeq and is a predicted model, not a curated record.
AGAGCCAACAAUAGUCAACGGUGGGUGGAACUAACGGACACGCGAACGUGAAAUGCUGAUGCCACCGGCGACACCAAAACUACUGAGAAAUUGAGAAGUGUGGAGUGACUUUAAACAGCAAGAAGAAGGCAACUCGCAUACACAGAGCUGCCAAGGGAACACUGGACUGGUGGCGGUCCAGGUUCUUCCCUGAAGCCAAAGGAUUUAGAGCAGAGUGCUUGUAAAUAACUACUUGUAAAUUAAAUCCAUAAUAAAGACCUAGGGUAACUGGAUGGAUAUACCUACCUUAUUAUUGUAAAACUUAAGAUAUUAUAAUUAAUUAAAUACA